RNAcentral lists this unclassified non-coding RNA (240 nucleotides) under Hevea brasiliensis (rubber tree). Lineage: Eukaryota; Viridiplantae; Streptophyta; Magnoliopsida; Malpighiales; Euphorbiaceae. The record is from RNAcentral.
CACGCCUCCUCUCUCCUCUCUCCUAUUCAGUAGGAAAAUUUUUUGCUCAGGGACUGUGAUUCAGAAUGGGGAGAGGGAAGAUAGCGAUAAGGAGGAUAGACAAUUCGACGAGCAGCAAGUGACGUUCUCGAAGAGAAGAAAUGGACUCUUGAAGAAAGCGAAGGAGCUUGCGAUCCUCUGUGACGCGGAAGUUGGAGUCGUAAUCUUUUCUAGCACCGGAAAGCUCUACGAUUUCUCUAG